Sorghum bicolor (sorghum) is the source of this 2798-nucleotide RNA transcript. RefSeq lists it as uncharacterized. The transcript has 2 exons. NCBI's taxonomy places the organism in Eukaryota, Viridiplantae, Streptophyta, Magnoliopsida, Poales, Poaceae. The record is from RefSeq and is a predicted model, not a curated record.
UACUGCUCCCUGAUCCGAUCAGCAACCACUGCCUACGUCUUGGCUCUUCACGAAAUCUUAAUCCUCAUGGUCAAAUAGCAAUAUGUGCAUAUAUAUUAUAAAUUCCUUUGCAUCCUGAUAUCAUAGUGCAGUUAAUAUUUGUAACAAAAAUGUUCUAUUGUUCAUGCUCAUAGAUAUUCAGAUACCUGCAAUUUUUUUGUAUCUACUAAGUGGAACCUGUAUUUAGCUUCCAUCUUAAAACUUGGAAGCAUUUUGAUGAAUGCAGAGGCUCCAGUGUCAACAAACAGGCUUGCAAUUCAGUUAUAUUUUUUUUUCCAUUUAGUUGUAGGAGAUUGUUCAGAAAAAACUUGUUGUUGUGGGUGAGAUAGUAUGACAUCCUAUUUGAUGGUUUUUGUUUUCUCUCUCAUUGCACUGUUAAGCUUGUACAUCCUACAUUGUUGUUGUCCAAGCCAUAACUACCAUUGCGAUAAGGUAUAGUAAACCUUGUAGACUGAAGAUAUAUGAUUUUCUUCAUGCUUUAGCUCUUGGGUGUGUGCAGUCAAUAUUUUCAGAAUUGUAGCUAAGUAAUAGGGGAAAUUAGGGUGCUGGUGCUUAAGGUCCUAAAUGAAAUGUAUAGAGCUCAAGAUUAUCUUGCCAGGUAUAUAGUAUUGAGGUGGCCUCUUUUUUUUCUUUGCCUUGUUUCUGUAUAGAUAUUCACCAGCAUGAUAUUUGCAAACUUGAAUGGACCCAUGAGAGGCAUCUUGAUUUUGUCCAUACUCCUUUCUGUUUGUUCGUAUUUUUUAGUUGUAGCUAUCACAUGGUUCUAUAAUUUUUAAUUAUCUAUGGUGGCUACAUCUAAUACUAAUAUUCUCAUCUGAUUAAGAUUAGAAGUGAAAUAAUUUAUUGCAGUGCACCUUUAUGAAAAGAUGGUGUUUGUGGUACUGUUGCCAUGAUAAUUUAGCAAUAUCAAAUGUAUUAGAAUGUGAUAUACCUGGGUUGUUUGUGCAGGUUCAUGUCUGGGAACUCUUUGUCGGUGUGAAACAUCAUGUCUGCAGAACGCCACAAAAACCGUUGGCACGCAGCUUGCCAAGGGCGAGGCAACGGAAAGUAAAUGGAUGUAAACACCCAAUGCCCUAGAGAUGAAUUUCAGAGAUUGUUCACCUCACCGCUGUAGAUAAACAAAUCAGAGGGGACUUACGACGGCUGCAGGCAAGUAGGCGAUGAAGCCCAGUGCCCGACGAACAAUGGGGGCAUGCCAGGGAUGAAUGGCGACGACGAGCUACGGAUGGGCAAGGGCGACUGCGGCUGGCGAUGGACAGAGGAUCGAUAGGGUUGAUCGACGUUGUGUGCGAUGGCGAAGGUGGCGCGCGAGAUCCAGGGACGAGGAGGUGAGGUUGCGCGCGGUGUCAUGCGAGGGCCAGGGACUUGUAGGUGAGGGCACGGUCGCGUGACUGGCGGCGCGGGGUGAUCACGGAAUUGAUCACGAUUGUUAGGGGAUUGAUUUUGCCUUCCUGAUCUGUUGCGGCUGUUACAGGAUUGAUGAUUUUUGCCUUCCUGUUUCGGGUGGUGGCAUUUGAUAAAGUCUCCACGCCUGGGGCUCAGCCGGGGUGGUAUUUUGAGGGAAGCCAACGGAGUCGCGGAGAGUGGAUCGCACCCACGCAGGCAGACGGACGAUGUUCAAUUGCCGCACGAAAAAGUGUCCAUUCUUUAGUCUUUUUAGUUGUAGGAGAUUGUUCAGAAAAAACUUGUUGUUGUGGGUGAGAUAGUAUGACAUCCUAUUUGAUGGUUUUUGUUUUCUCUCUCAUUGCACUGUUAAGCUUGUACAUCCUACAUUGUUGUUGUCCAAGCCAUAACUACCAUUGCGAUAAGGUUCAUGUCUGGGAACUCUUUGUCGGUGUGAAACAUCAUGUCUGCAGAACGCCACAAAAACCGUUGGCACGCAGCUUGCCAAGGGCGAGGCAACGGAAAGUAAAUGGAUGUAAACACCCAAUGCCCUAGAGAUGAAUUUCAGAGAUUGUUCACCUCACCGCUGUAGAUAAACAAAUCAGAGGGGACUUACGACGGCUGCAGGCAAGUAGGCGAUGAAGCCCAGUGCCCGACGAACAAUGGGGGCAUGCCAGGGAUGAAUGGCGACGACGAGCUACGGAUGGGCAAGGGCGACUGCGGCUGGCGAUGGACAGAGGAUCGAUAGGGUUGAUCGACGUUGUGUGCGAUGGCGAAGGUGGCGCGCGAGAUCCAGGGACGAGGAGGUGAGGUUGCGCGCGGUGUCGUGCGAGGGCCAGGGACUUGUAGGUGAGGGCACGGUCGCGUGACUGGCGGCGCGGGGUGAUCACGGAAUUGAUCACGAUUGUUAGGGGAUUGAUUUUGCCUUCCUGAUCUGUUGCGGCUGUUACAGGAUUGAUGAUUUUUGCCUUCCUGUUUCGGGUGGUGGCAUUUGAUAAAGUCUCCACGCCUGGGGCUCAGCCGGGGUGGUAUUUUGAGGGAAGCCAACGGAGUCGCGGAGAGUGGAUCGCACCCACGCAGGCAGACGGACGAUGUUCAAUUGCCGCACGAAAAAGUGUCCAUUCUUUAGUCUUUUUAGUUGUAGGAGAUAGGAGAUAUUUUUGACCAAUAUAGAUCUGGCAUUUCUAAUUUGCACAUCAGGUGCCCAUAUAUCAGCUAUCUAUUUGUGCACUGUCAUGCACGUGGGAAUUUCCUUAAGGUACUGAAAUUUAAUUUUCAUCUACACAAUUAGGAAAUUUUCUAGAAACUAGAGUAUCAGGUAAUGUUAGUCGGUUUCUAUUUUUUAAAUAAAUCAAGUGACACAAGACCUUUAAUUA